This is a long non-coding RNA of Gavialis gangeticus (Gharial), 703 nucleotides long. RefSeq lists it as uncharacterized. The record is from RefSeq and is a predicted model, not a curated record. The transcript has 3 exons. NCBI's taxonomy places the organism in Eukaryota, Metazoa, Chordata, Crocodylia, Gavialidae.
GCCCCAGGCCAACCUUAUUGGAGUAUUUGGAUAUUUUAUUAGCAUUACAACCACAUAAACAAGCAAACUCUUGUCAUAAUGUAUUUUUUCAAAAGUACCAUUGUUUUAUCCGAUGUCAGAAAUACAUCUUUUAGAGCUGACUGAAUUUGCUCUGUUUUCUACAUACAUGCACGCAAGCUCAUAUUCCAGCUGCUUAGUAGACAAAUGCAAAAUGGACUUCAACUUUAAUGUUAUGUGAGGAUAAGAUGUAAUAUACCAGCUUUAGGAUUUCUUUACCAGAAGGGUAUAGAAGGGCCUUUCUAUAAACCAAUGUUCCCAGCAUAUUUAAAUGAAUCCAGUUGAACUCAUCAGCUCAUUUUACAGUAAUUCAAGUAUGAAAAGGAUUAAUAUCAAAGCCUAUUUACAAGUAUAAUCAUGAAGAAGUCCUCCUUUAUAAUAAAGAAAGCACAGAGCAAAAAUAAAAAUCUUUUAGUUGAUUGCUUACCCCUUGGGGCAAUUUCCAAAACAAACAAUCAGUUCAAUAUUGGUUGCUUGGAUCUUUUCACAAAUGAUCAACAGCAAUCUUCUUAGCUAUAGGAAGUACCCUGGGCAGAUGCUUGAUCUGCCUGACCAAAAACUUCUGUGUGUCCAGAAACUUUUGCUUGUGAAGUGUUUGCCUGAUCAAAUGCAUCCAACCUCUUUUCAACCACCACACGAAUCAAGG